This 360-nucleotide ribosomal RNA is filed under the name uncultured bacterium. RNAcentral describes it as "bacterial SSU rRNA". It matches the Rfam family "Bacterial small subunit ribosomal RNA", at positions 367 to 717 of the family's 1533-position model. The record is from RNAcentral.
GACAUGGGGGCACCUGUAUCCAUCAUGCCGCGUGUGUGAAGAAGGCUUCGGGUUGUAAAGCACUUUUGUCAGGAACGAAACAGGGGGGGCUAAUAUCCUCUGCUAAUGACGGUACCUGAAGAAUAAGCACCGGCUAACUACGUGCCAGCAGCCGCGGUAAUACGUGGGGUGCGAGCGUUAAUCGGAAUUACUGGGCGUAAAGCGUGCGCAGGCGGUUGUGCAAGACAGAUGUGAAAUCCCCGGGCUCAACCUGGGAAUAGCAUAUGUGACUGCACGGCUAGAGUAGUGUCAAAGGGGGGUAGAAUUCCACAGUGUAACAAGUGAAAAUGCGUAAGAUAUGUAGGAGGAAUACCGAUGGCG